Molecule: ribosomal RNA, 253 nt
Filed under: uncultured bacterium
Lineage: Bacteria
Description: partial 16S ribosomal RNA
Rfam family: Bacterial small subunit ribosomal RNA
Source: RNAcentral
UACGUAGGGUGCAAGCGUUGUCCGGAAUUAUUGGGCGUAAAGAGCUCGUAGGCGGUCUGUCGCGUCGGCUGUGAAAACCUGGGGCUUAACUCCGGGCCUGCAGCCGAUACGGGCAGACUAGAGUUCGGCAGGGGAGACUGGAAUUCCUGGUGUAGCGGUGAAAUGCGCAGAUAUCAGGAGGAACACCGGUGGCGAAGGCGGGUCUCUGGGCCGAAACUGACGCUGAGGAGCGAAAGCGUGGGGAGCAAACGGG